UACAGAGACUGCGAGCGUUAUUCGGAUUCACUGGGCGUAAAGGGUGCGCAGGCGGCCAAGUGUGUGAGGCGUGAAAGCCCGGGGCUUAACCCCGGAAUUGCACCUCAAACUACAUGGCUAGAGCAUUGGAGAGGGUAGCGGAAUUCACGGUGUAGCAGUGAAAUGCGUAGAUAUCGUGAGGAACACCAGAGGCGAAGGCGGCUACCUGGACAGAAACUGACGCUGAGGCGCGAAAGCUAGGGGAGCAAACAGG
RNAcentral lists this ribosomal RNA (253 nucleotides) under uncultured bacterium. RNAcentral's name for it is "partial 16S ribosomal RNA". It matches the Rfam family "Bacterial small subunit ribosomal RNA", at positions 524 to 776 of the family's 1533-position model. The record is from RNAcentral.